This is a long non-coding RNA of Zalophus californianus (California sea lion), 180 nucleotides long. RefSeq lists it as uncharacterized. The transcript has 3 exons. Lineage: Eukaryota; Metazoa; Chordata; Mammalia; Carnivora; Otariidae. The record is from RefSeq and is a predicted model, not a curated record.
GUAUGUACUAUGAGCGCACCUGUGAAAGGCUCAACAUCCUCAAAACUAAAAACCCAUCAGGGAGCAGGAAAACAAAGGAUCUGUUGAAGAUCUGACAAGUGAAGUCAACCCCUGAGCCACCUGACAGACCUGUGAGCAGCCAGAGAUGACACACCUUCUGAGUUCCCAACAGCAUCCACA